This 211-nucleotide long non-coding RNA is filed under the name Phaseolus vulgaris (common bean). Its description in RNAcentral is "long non-coding RNA (PVUL_LNC001672)". The record is from RNAcentral. Lineage: Eukaryota; Viridiplantae; Streptophyta; Magnoliopsida; Fabales; Fabaceae.
AGGGUUGAAAAUAUUAAUUUUGGAUGAUGAUGGAAAUACCACUAAUUCAACUACUAAUGUGGUUUACAAAGAAAUAUUUAAAAAUGUUUGAAACAUAUUGUUAACCCAUACUUAUCAGGUAUGAAAAUUCUUUAAUCGAAAACUAUUUAUAUGUCUCAUAUAUUUCUUCCAAUAUAUCUUCUAAUAUAUCAACAAUAAACCCAUAUUUUUU